Long non-coding RNA from Gopherus evgoodei (Goodes thornscrub tortoise), 278 nucleotides. RefSeq lists it as uncharacterized. Lineage: Eukaryota; Metazoa; Chordata; Testudines; Testudinidae. The record is from RefSeq and is a predicted model, not a curated record. The transcript is spliced from 3 exons.
UCGGAUGUCGUCACAACAGGAGGCAAUAGCGUUGUGUGGUGACAGAGUCAUGUAGUACUGAAACGUUAUGGGAUAAAAGGGAAGCAUUUUCAUAAUCCAGUGAGUUCAAUGAACAUGGGGUCUUAUCCAGAGAAGACUGAAGGCUUUCCUUUGCCAGAAACUGAGCCAUCAUAUCUUCACAUUGGCACAAUCCCUCAUCACCUUCGAUUCUCAUUUUGGUUACACUCCUUGGGAUGUCAUAAUAAUUCCUUUUCAGAUGUGUACCUGCUGGAAGUAGC